UCCCAUCCUCGUGUUGAUGCCACAAAAAAGAAAUUACUUGCAAAACAUCAUUGGUUCAGUUCGUGCUGCAAUAGGACAUCCACAACCCUUUAUGCUGGAUGCUCUACUACAGAUGUUUGCAAUUCAGUUUUAUAUCAUUCUUUCCUAGCAGGGUAGAAAAUAUGCACAUGAUUGAGCAUUUUGGUGAAUCAAGAGCUUUCCUA
RNAcentral lists this long non-coding RNA (203 nucleotides) under Hordeum vulgare. RNAcentral describes it as "long non-coding RNA (HVUL_LNC018821)". Lineage: Eukaryota; Viridiplantae; Streptophyta; Magnoliopsida; Poales; Poaceae. The record is from RNAcentral.